This 253-nucleotide ribosomal RNA is filed under the name uncultured Armatimonadota bacterium. RNAcentral's name for it is "uncultured Armatimonadetes bacterium partial 16S ribosomal RNA". It matches the Rfam family "Bacterial small subunit ribosomal RNA", at positions 524 to 776 of the family's 1533-position model. The record is from RNAcentral. Lineage: Bacteria; Bacillati; Armatimonadota.
UACGUAGGGGGCAAGCGUUGUCCGGAUUCACUGGGCGUAAAGCGCGUGUAGGCGGAGCGCUAAGCCUGGCCUGAAAGCCCCCGGCUCAACCGGGGAGGGCGGCUGGGGACUGGCGUUCUUGAGGGCGGAAGAGGGGGGCGGAAUUCCUGGUGUAGCGGUGAAAUGCGUAGAUAUCAGGAGGAACACCCAUGGCGAAGGCAGCCCCCUGGUCCGGCCCUGACGCUGAGACGCGAAAGCGCGGGGAGCGAACGGG